GACGAACGCUGGCGGCGUGCUUAACACAUGCAAGUCGAACGGAAAGGCCCUGCUUUUGUGGGGUGCUCGAGUGGCGAACGGGUGAGUAACACGUGAGUAACCUGCCCUUGACUUUGGGAUAACUUCAGGAAACUGGGGCUAAUACCGGAUAGGAGCUCCUGCUGCAUGGUGGGGGUUGGAAAGUUUCGGCGGUUGGGGAUGGACUCGCGGCUUAUCAGCUUGUUGGUGGGGUAGUGGCUUACCAAGGCUUUGACGGGUAGCCGGCCUGAGAGGGUGACCGGCCGCAUUGGGACUGAGAUACGGCACAGACUCCUACGGGAGGCAGCAGUGGGGAAUAUUGCACAAUGGGCGGAAGCCUGAUGCAGCAACGCCGCGUGCGGGAUGACGGCCUUCGGGUUGUAAACCGCUUUCGCCUGUGACGAAGCGUGAGUGACGGUAAUGGGUAAAGAAGCACCGGCUAACUACGUG
RNAcentral lists this ribosomal RNA (468 nucleotides) under uncultured bacterium. RNAcentral describes it as "partial 16S ribosomal RNA". It matches the Rfam family "Bacterial small subunit ribosomal RNA", at positions 28 to 507 of the family's 1533-position model. The record is from RNAcentral.